RNAcentral lists this transfer RNA (74 nucleotides) under Chitinophagaceae bacterium. RNAcentral's name for it is "tRNA-Asn". It matches the Rfam family "tRNA". Rfam says of the family: Transfer RNA (tRNA) molecules are approximately 80 nucleotides in length. Their secondary structure includes four short double-helical elements and three loops (D, anti-codon, and T loops). Further hydrogen bonds mediate the characteristic L-shaped molecular structure. tRNAs have two regions of fundamental functional importance: the anti-codon, which is responsible for specific mRNA codon recognition, and the 3' end, to which the tRNAs corresponding amino acid is attached (by aminoacyl-tRNA synthetases). tRNAs cope with the degeneracy of the genetic code in two manners: having more than one tRNA (with a specific anti-codon) for a particular amino acid; and 'wobble' base-pairing, i.e. permitting non-standard base-pairing at the 3rd anti-codon position. The record is from RNAcentral. Lineage: Bacteria; Pseudomonadati; Bacteroidota; Chitinophagia; Chitinophagales; Chitinophagaceae. RNAcentral also lists the same sequence under 2 other names.
UCUUCCUUAGCUCAGUUGGUUAGAGCACCUGACUGUUAAUCAGGGGGUCUCAGGUUCAAGUCCUGAAGGGAGAG